CGCUCUCUCUCUCUCUCUCGCGAUGUGCCGCCGAAGCGUGGGAGCUCCAAGUUCUUCGCCGCCCCUUCUUCCCCUCUCUCCUCAUCUGCCAGAGCAUCGUCGGCCGGGACGGCACCUUCCACACCGAUUAGGCCGUCGAGUACGGUGCCGAGAUGAUCAUGGCGAUUUUAUGGUGGCCUUUGGGAUUAUGGCUUAAACCCCUGAAGCGAACCACGAUCUUUGAAGGAGGAAGAAAACCCCCUAUCGUGCGUGACUCUAUCUCGUGCACUUUUAGAGUUGUUCUUUGAGAGAACUUAUCCAAACACAGAGUUCUGGGAGGAUCAAAGUCUUACACAGGGGUCACAUGAAUUCAGGACAAAGUUGCUUUCUUAUUGGUUCACUUAUAUUCAAAUAUGACUUUCUUUAAUGUUCUUCUUUAUCUGAUUAACGUAGAUGUUUGUAUGUCCAUUAUUUUGGUUUACCUUGCUUCUCAGUAAAUUUUAUUCCUAAGGUUUCACAGAAUUUGGUUUGCAAUAUUAGUUGCCAUAAGAUUAAAUGUCAUUUGGAGCAUUUUGUUUUGCGUUCUUCAAAGGUGUAAGAAAUGACCACCAGUUAUACAUACAGUACAUUAUUUAGUUAUUAUAG
Long non-coding RNA from Musa acuminata AAA Group (dessert banana), 624 nucleotides. RefSeq lists it as uncharacterized. The transcript has 3 exons. The record is from RefSeq and is a predicted model, not a curated record. NCBI's taxonomy places the organism in Eukaryota, Viridiplantae, Streptophyta, Magnoliopsida, Zingiberales, Musaceae.